CCUGAGGCAGGACAUUAGAGAAAGCAUCUUUAGUUCCAUUCCAUCCGUCUAUUCAGUAAACCAGACGUUGUUGGUCCGUCUGGAGAACGGGGACUUCGGCCGUGGAUUUGAUGACUUCUGUCCUCACCUCCACCACUACGUUACCUACGUAGACAACAUCCAGAACGCCAACAGGGUCCUGGCGCUCCAGGUCAAGAAGAACAAAGCCUUUAGAAGGUUUAAGAAGCUCCAGGAGUCCAGACCAGAGUUCCUCAACUGUAAACUAGAGGACCUCCUCCCACUGCCCAUACAGCGCAUCCA
Molecule: long non-coding RNA, 300 nt
Organism: Oncorhynchus nerka (sockeye salmon)
Lineage: Eukaryota; Metazoa; Chordata; Actinopteri; Salmoniformes; Salmonidae
Exons: 3
Source: RefSeq, a predicted model, not a curated record